AUGACCGGCGAGGAGAUGCGAUUCCUCGAGCUGCUCACCGCCUUUGGCUUGGACAUCGAGGCGGUGGCCGCCGCUCUGGGAGUCGAUAUGCACACGCUCAACA
Non-coding RNA from Drosophila melanogaster (fruit fly), 103 nucleotides. The record is from Ensembl. Lineage: Eukaryota; Metazoa; Arthropoda; Insecta; Diptera; Drosophilidae.